RNAcentral lists this small RNA (29 nucleotides) under Bombyx mori (domestic silkworm). RNAcentral describes it as "ovarian small RNA-20195". The record is from RNAcentral. Lineage: Eukaryota; Metazoa; Arthropoda; Insecta; Lepidoptera; Bombycidae.
UACACCGCGGCCAGGACCUCGGCCUCGUA